UACGAAGGGGGCUAGCGUUGCUCGGAAUCACUGGGCGUAAAGGGUGCGUAGGCGGGUCUUUAAGUCAGGGGUGAAAUCCUGGAGCUCAACUCCAGAACUGCCUUUGAUACUGAAGAUCUUGAGUUCGGGAGAGGUGAGUGGAACUGCGAGUGUAGAGGUGAAAUUCGUAGAUAUUCGCAAGAGCGCCAGUGGCGAAGGCGGCUCACUGGCCCGAUACUGACGCUGAGGCACGAAAGCGUGGGGAGCAAACAGG
This 253-nucleotide ribosomal RNA is filed under the name uncultured bacterium. Its description in RNAcentral is "partial 16S ribosomal RNA". It matches the Rfam family "Bacterial small subunit ribosomal RNA", at positions 524 to 776 of the family's 1533-position model. The record is from RNAcentral.